Molecule: ribosomal RNA, 469 nt
Filed under: uncultured bacterium
Lineage: Bacteria
Description: bacterial SSU rRNA
Rfam family: Bacterial small subunit ribosomal RNA
Source: RNAcentral
AUGAACGCUGGCGGCGUGUCUAAGGCAUGCAAGUCGAGGGAUCGGCUUGACGUAGCAAUACGUUGAGCACGGACCGGCAGACGGGUGAGUAACACACUGGUAACCUACCUCCGAGACGGGAAUAGCUCGCCGAAAGGCGGAUUAAUGCCCGAUGGUCAUGCGGGGACGCAAGUCAUUCGCAUGUAAAUGAGUCUCGCUCGGAGAGGGGCCUAUGGCUGAUUAGCUAGUUGGUAGGGUAAUGGCCUACCAAGGCUAUGAUCAGUAGCAGGCGUGAGAGCGUGACCUGCCUCACUGGGACUGAGACACUGCCCAGACACCUACGGGUGGCUGCAGUCGAGAAUCUUCCCCAAUGGACGAAAGUCUGAGGGAGCGACGCCGCGUGCAGGAUGAAGGCCUUCGGGUUGUAAACUGCUUUUGCACGGGACGAAUUUGUGACGGUACCGUGCGAAUAAGAGGUUGCUAACUCUGU